GAUGAAUGCUGGCGGCGUGCCUAAUACAUGCAAGUAGAACGCUGAAGGAGGAGCUUGCUCUUCUGGAAGAGUUGCGAACGGGUGAGUAACGCGUAGGUAACCUGCCUCUUAGCGGGGGAUAACUAUUGGAAACGAUAGCUAAUACCGCAUAAAAGUCGACAUUGCAUGAUGUUGACUUGAAAGGUGCAAAUGCAUCACUAAGAGAUGGACCUGCGUUGUAUUAGCUAGUUGGUGAGGUAACGGCUCACCAAGGCGACGAUACAUAGCCGACCUGAGAGGGUGAUCGGCCACACUGGGACUGAGACACGGCCCAGACUCCUACGGGAGGCAGCAGUAGGGAAUCUUCGGCAAUGGGGGCAACCCUGACCGAGCAACGCCGCGUGAGUGAAGAAGGUUUUCGGAUCGUAAAGCUCUGUUGUAAGAGAAGAACGAGUGUGAGAGUGGAAAGUUCACGCUGUGACGGUAUCUUACCAGAAAGGGACGGCUAACUACGUGCCAGCAGCCGCGGUAAUACGUAGGUCCCGAGCGUUAUCCGGAUUUAUUGGGCGUAAAGCGAGCGCAGGCGGUUAGAUAAGUCUGAAGUUAAAGGCUGUGGCUUAACCAUAGUACGCUUUGGAAACUGUUUAACUUGAGUGCAGAAGGGGGAGAGUGGGAAUUCCAUGUGUAUGCGGUGAAAUGCGUAUAUAUAUGGAAGGAACACCGGUGGUGAAAUGCGUGCUCUCUUGGUCUGUAACUGACGCUGAGGCUCGAAAGCGUGUGGAGCAAACAUG
This 770-nucleotide ribosomal RNA is filed under the name uncultured Streptococcus sp. RNAcentral describes it as "bacterial SSU rRNA". It matches the Rfam family "Bacterial small subunit ribosomal RNA", at positions 28 to 776 of the family's 1533-position model. The record is from RNAcentral. Lineage: Bacteria; Bacillati; Bacillota; Bacilli; Lactobacillales; Streptococcaceae.